GGUCAAGCGAACAAGUGCAUGUGGUGGAUGCCUUGGCGAUCACAGGCGAUGAAGGACGCGGUAGCCUGCGAAAAGCUUCGGGGAGCUGGCAAACAAGCUUUGAUCCGAAGAUGUCCGAAUGGGGAAACCCGGCCCGUAUGGGUCAUCCCACACUGAAUUCAUAGGUGUGGGAAGCGAACGCGGCGAACUGAAACAUCUAAGUAGCUGCAGGAACAGAAAUCAACCGAGAUUCCCAAAGUAGUGGCGAACGAAAUGGGAAGAGCCUUGUACUCUUUAGCAGUGUUGUUAGCAGAACGGGAUGGAAAGCCCGGCCCUAGCAGGUGAUAGCCCUGUAUGCGAAAACAGCGUUGUGGAACUAGGUGUACGACAAGUAGGGCGGGACACGUGAAAUCCUGUCUGAAGAUGGGGGGACCAUCCUCCAAGGCUAAAUACUCGUGAUCGACCGAUAGUGAACCAGUACCGUGAGGGAAAGGCGAAAAGAACCCCGGGAGGGGAGUGAAAUAGAUCCUGAAACCGCAUGCAUACAAACAGUCGGAGCCCUUUCGGGGGUGACGGCGUACCUUUUGUAUAAUGGGUCAGCGACUUACAUUCAGUGGCAAGCUUAACCGAUUAGGGAAGGCGUAGCGAAAGCGAGUCCGAACAGGGCGUUGAGUCGCUGGGUGUAGACCCGAAACCAGAUGAUCUAUCCAUGGCCAGGUUGAAGGUGCGGUAACACGUACUGGAGGACCGAACCCACUAACGUUGAAAAGUUAGGGGAUGAGCUGUGGAUAGGGGUGAAAGGCUAAACAAAUCUGGAAAUAGCUGGUUCUCUCCGAAAACUAUUUAGGUAGUGCCUCGUGUCUCACCUUCGGGGGUAGAGCACUGUCAUGGUUGGGGGGUCUAUUGCUGAUUACCCCGCCAUAGCAAACUCCGAAUACCGAAGAGUGCAAUCACGGGAGACAGACAUCGGGUGCUAACGUCCGGUGUCAAGAGGGAAACAACCCAGACCGCCAGCUAAGGUCCCCAAAUAUAGCUAAGUGGGAAACGAAGUGGGAAGGCUAAAACAGUCAGGAGGUUGGCUUAGAAGCAGCCACCCUUUAAAGAAAGCGUAAUAGCUCACUGAUCGAGUCGUCCUGCGCGGAAGAUGUAACGGGGCUAAGCUAUAUACCGAAGCUGCGGACGCACGCAAGUGCGUGGUAGGAGAGCGUUCUGUAAGCCUGUGAAGGUGUCUUGUAAAGGAUGCUGGAGGUAUCAGAAGUGCGAAUGCUGACAUGAGUAGCGAUAAAGGGGGUGAAAGGCCCCCUCGCCGUAAGCCCAAGGUUUCCUACGCAACGUUCAUCGGCGUAGGGUGAGUCGGCCCCUAAGGCGAGGCAGAGAUGCGUAGCUGAUGGGAAGCAGGUUAAUAUUCCUGCACCGUCGUAUGAUGCGAUGGGGGGACGGAUCGCGGAAGGUUGUCCGGGUGUUGGAAGUCCCGGUCCCUGCAUUGGAGAAGGCGCUUAGGCAAAUCCGGGCGCGGAAUUCAAGGAUGUGGGGCGAGCGGCCUAGAGCUGCGAAGCAAUUGGAAGUGGUUCCAAGAAAAGCCUCUAAGCUUCAGUCAUACGAGACCGUACCGCAAACCGACACAGGUGGGCGAGAUGAGUAUUCUAAGGCGCUUGAGAGAACUCGGGAGAAGGAACUCGGCAAAUUGGUACCGUAACUUCGGGAUAAGGUACGCCCUGGUAGCUUGACUGGCCUGCGCCAGAAGGGUGAAGGGGUUGCAAUAAAAUGGUGGCUGCGACUGUUUAAUAAAAACACAGCACUCUGCAAACACGAAAGUGGACGUAUAGGGUGUGACGCCUGCCCGGUGCCGGAAGAUUAAAUGAUGGGGUGCAAGCUCUUGAUUGAAGUCCCGGUAAACGGCGGCCGUAACUAUAACGGUCCUAAGGUAGCGAAAUUCCUUGUCGGGUAAGUUCCGACCUGCACGAAUGGCGUAACGAUGGCCACACUGUCUCCUCCCGAGACUCAGCGAAGUUGAAGUGUUUGUGAUGAUGCAAUCUCCCCGCGGCUAGACGGAAAGACCCCAUGAACCUUUACUGUAGCUUUGCAUUGGACUUUGAACCGAUCUGUGUAGGAUAGGUGGGAGGCUUAGAAGCGUGGACGCUAGUUCACGUGGAGCCGUCCUUGAAAUACCACCCUGGUUUGUUUGAGGUUCUAACCUUGGCCCGUGAAUCCGGGUCGGGGACAGUGCAUGGUAGGCAGUUUGACUGGGGCGGUCUCCUCCCAAAGUGUAACGGAGGAGUUCGAAGGUACGCUUGGUACGGUCGGACAUCGUACCUAAAGUGCAAUGGCAAAAGCGUGCUUAACUGCGAGACCGACAAGUCGAGCAGGUGCGAAAGCAGGACAUAGUGAUCCGGUGGUUCUGAAUGGAAGGGCCAUCGCUCAACGGAUAAAAGGUACUCUGGGGAUAACAGGCUGAUACCGCCCAAGAGUUCAUAUCGACGGCGGUGUUUGGCACCUCGAUGUCGGCUCAUCUCAUCCUGGGGCUGUAGCCGGUCCCAAGGGUAUGGCUGUUCGCCAUUUAAAGAGGUACGUGAGCUGGGUUUAAAACGUCGUGAGACAGUUUGGUCCCUAUCUGCCGUGGGCGUUGGAAUCUUGACGGGGGCUGCUCCUAGUACGAGAGGACCGGAGUGGACGUACCGCUGGUGUACCUGUUGUCUCGCCAGAGGCAUCGCAGGGUAGCUAUGUACGGAAGAGAUAACCGCUGAAAGCAUCUAAGCGGGAAACUCGCCUGAAGAUGAGGAUUCCCUGGAGGCUUGACCUCCUUGAAGGGUCGUUCGAGACCAGGACGUUGAUAGGCUGGGUGUGGAAGCGCAGUAAUGCGUUAAGCUAACCAGUACUAAUUGCCCGUAAGGCUUGAUCCU
Molecule: ribosomal RNA, 2879 nt
Filed under: Cupriavidus oxalaticus
Lineage: Bacteria; Pseudomonadati; Pseudomonadota; Betaproteobacteria; Burkholderiales; Burkholderiaceae
Description: 23S ribosomal RNA
Rfam family: Bacterial large subunit ribosomal RNA
Source: RNAcentral